This 404-nucleotide ribosomal RNA is filed under the name uncultured bacterium. Its description in RNAcentral is "bacterial SSU rRNA". It matches the Rfam family "Bacterial small subunit ribosomal RNA", at positions 355 to 776 of the family's 1533-position model. The record is from RNAcentral.
UGGGGAAUCUUGCACAAUGGGCGAAAGCCUGAUGCAGCCAUGCCGCGUGAAUGAUGACGGCCUUAGGGUUGUAAAAUUCUUUCGCCAGGGAUGAUAAUGACAGUACCUGGUAAAGAAGCCCCGGCUAACUUCGUGCCAGCAGCCGCGGUAAUACGAAGGGGGCUAGCGUUGUUCGGAAUUACUGGGCGUAAAGCGCGCGUAGGCGGGCUAUUAAGCCAGAUGUGAAAGCCCGGGGCUCAACCCCGGAAUUGCAUUUGGAACUGGUAGCCUAGAGACCAGGAGAGGUUAGCGGAAUACCGAGUGUAGAGGUGAAAUUCGUAGAUAUUCGGUGGAACACCAGUGGCGAAGGCGGCUAACUGGACUGGUACUGACGCUGAGGCGCGAAAGUGUGGGGAGCAAACAGG